This 484-nucleotide ribosomal RNA is filed under the name uncultured bacterium. RNAcentral's name for it is "partial 16S ribosomal RNA". It matches the Rfam family "Bacterial small subunit ribosomal RNA", at positions 28 to 523 of the family's 1533-position model. The record is from RNAcentral.
GACGAACGCUGGCGGCGUGCUUAACACAUGCAAGUCGAACGAUGAAGCUAGAGCUUGCUCUGGUGAAUUAGUGGCGAACGGGUGAGUAACACGUGAGUAACCUGCCCCGAACUCUGGGAUAACUGCUGGAAACGGUAGCUAAUACUGGAUACGACCUACGAAGGCAUCUUCUGUAGGUGGAAAGAAUUUCGGUUCGGGAUGGACUCGCGGCCUAUCAGCUUGUUGGUGAGGUAAUGGCUCACCAAGGCGACGACGGGUAGCCGGCCUGAGAGGGUGACCGGCCACACUGGGACUGAGACACGGCCCAGACUCCUACGGGAGGCAGCAGUGGGGAAUAGUGCACAAUGGGCGCAAGCCUGAUGCAGCAACGCCGCGUGAGGGAUGACGGCCUCCGGGUUGUAAACCUCUUUUAGUAGGGAAGAAGCGAAAGUGACGGUACCUGCAGAAAAAGCACCGGCUAACUACGUGCCAGCAGCCGCGGUAA